AGUCAAUAGAUACCCUGGUAGUCCUAGCCCUAAACGAUGAUUGCUUGCUGUGAUCGGUACCCAAAUCCGAUCGUGGCGAAGCUAACGCGAUAAGCAAUCCGCCUGGGGAGUACGGUCGCAAGGCUGAAACUCAAGGGGAAUUGACGGGGCCCGCACAAGCGGUGGAGCAUGUGGUUCAAUUCGACGCAACGCGAAGAACCUUACCUGGGCUCGAAAUGUAGUGGACCGAGGCAGAAAUGUCUCUUCCCCGCAAGGGGCUGCUAUAUAGGUGCUGCAUGGCUGUCGUCAGCUCGUGUCGUGAGAUGUUGGGUUAAGUCCCGCAACGAGCGCAACCCUUAUUGCCAGUUGCCAUCAUUUAGUUGGGCACUCUGGCGAAACUGCCCCGGAUAACGGGGAGAAGGUGGGAUGACGUCAAGUCCUCAUGGCCUUUAUGUCCAGGGCUACACACGUGCUACAAUGGUCGGUACAAACCGUCGCAAACCCGUGA
RNAcentral lists this ribosomal RNA (487 nucleotides) under uncultured bacterium. RNAcentral describes it as "bacterial SSU rRNA". It matches the Rfam family "Bacterial small subunit ribosomal RNA", at positions 774 to 1260 of the family's 1533-position model. The record is from RNAcentral.